This 253-nucleotide ribosomal RNA is filed under the name Bacteroides stercoris ATCC 43183. RNAcentral describes it as "partial 16S ribosomal RNA". It matches the Rfam family "Bacterial small subunit ribosomal RNA", at positions 524 to 776 of the family's 1533-position model. Lineage: Bacteria; Pseudomonadati; Bacteroidota; Bacteroidia; Bacteroidales; Bacteroidaceae. The record is from RNAcentral.
UACGGAGGAUCCGAGCGUUAUCCGGAUUUAUUGGGUUUAAAGGGAGCGUAGGCGGAUUGUUAAGUCAGUUGUGAAAGUUUGCGGCUCAACCGUAAAAUUGCAGUUGAUACUGGCGACCUUGAGUGCAACAGAGGUAGAUGGAAUUCCCGGUGUAGCGGUGGAAUGCGUAGAUAUCGGGAGGAACACCAGUGGCGAAGGCGGUCUACUGGGCACCAACUGACGCUGAGGCUCGAAAGCAUGGGUAGCAAACAGG